This 1358-nucleotide small RNA is filed under the name Pongo abelii (Sumatran orangutan). RNAcentral's name for it is "processed transcript". Lineage: Eukaryota; Metazoa; Chordata; Mammalia; Primates; Hominidae. The record is from RNAcentral.
GCUAUGCCCUAAAUUGGGCCAGGCUGAGGCGCUGCUGCUCGAGCGGCCGAUCCGAGACGUGGCUGCCUGGGCGGAAGAACCAUGUUGGACUUCGCGAUCUUCGCCGUUACCUUCUUGCUGGCGUUGGUGGGAGCGGUGCUCUACCUCUACCCGCGGACCCUUUUGAAACCAUGCUGAAGUCAUUAUUAAGGUAUCAAUCUGGUGGUGGCAGUGUGAGUGAAAACCACAUGAGGAAAAAAUUGUAUGAAAAUGGUGUGACUAAUUCUCUGAAGAGUAACUUUGCCCUCCUCCUAAAGCUUUCAGAAGAAUUAUUAGAUAAAUGGCUCUCCUACCCAGAGACCCAGCACGUGCCCCUCAGCCAGCAUAUGCUUGGUUUUGCUAUGAAGUCUGUUACACAGAUGGUAAUGGGUAGUACAUUUGAAGAUGAUCAGGAAGUCAUUCGCUUCCAGAAGAAUCAUGGCACAGUUUGGUCUGAGAUUGGAAAAGGCUUUCUAGAUGGGUCACUUGAUAAAAAUACAACUCGGAAAAAACAAUAUGAAGAUGCCCUCAUGCAACUGGAGUCUGUUUUAAGGAACAUCAUAAAAGAACGAAAAGGAAGGAACUUCAGUCAAUAUAUUUUCAUUGACUCCUUAGUACAAGGGAACCUUAAUGACCAGCAGAUCCUAGAAGACAGUAUGAUAUUUUCUCUGGCCAGUUGCAUAAUAACUGCAAAAUUGUGUACCUGGGCAAUCUGUUUUUUAACCACCUCUGAAGAAGUUCAAAAAAAAUUAUAUGAAGAGAUAAACCAAGUUUUUGGAAAUGGUCCUGUUACUCCAGAGAAAAUUGAGCAGCUCAGAUAUUGUCAGCAUGUGCUUUGUGAAACUGUUCGAACUGCCAAACUGACUCCAGUUUCUGCCCAGCUUCAAGAUAUUGAAGGAAAAAUUGACCAAUUUAUUAUUCCUAGAGAGACCCUUGUCCUUUAUGCCCUUGGUGUGGUACUUCAGGAUCCUAAUACUUGGCCAUCUCCACACAAGUUUGAUCCAGAUCGGUUUGAUGAUGAAUUAGUAAUGAAAACAUUUUCCUCACUUGGAUUCUCAGGCACACAGGAGUGUCCAGAGUUGAGGUUUGCAUAUAUGGUGACCUCAGUACUUCUUAGUGUAUUGGUGAAGAGACUGCACCUACUUUCUGUGGAGGGACAAGUUAUUGAAACAAAGUAUGAACUGGUAACAUCAUCAAGGGAAGAAGCUUGGAUCACUGUCUCAAAGAGAUAUUAAAAUUUUAUACAUUUAAAAUCAUUGUUAAAUUGAUUGAGGAAAACGACCAUUUAAAAAAAUCUGUGUUGAAUCCUUUUAUAAACCAGUAUCACUUUGUAAUGUAAA